UCUGCACCGUGCAUGCAGGUGGGGCGGCGCGGAUCUGCACGGUGCAUGCAGGCGGUGCUGCGGGGCUGCAGGGUGCAUGCAUCGGGGCUGCAGGGCUGCAAGGUGCAUGCAGCGGUGCUGCGGGGCUGCAGGGUGCAUGCAUCGGGGCUGCAAGGUGCAUGCAUUGGUGCUGUGCACGUCUGCAUCGUGCACGCAUCAGGGCUGCAGAGCUGCAAGGUGCGUGCACUGGUGCCGUGCAGAUCUGCACUGUGCGUGCUCUGGUGCUGCAAAUACGCAAGGUGCGUGCGCUGGUGCUG
This 296-nucleotide long non-coding RNA is filed under the name Anser cygnoides (Swan goose). RNAcentral's name for it is "lncRNA (ENSACDG00005008834.1)". Lineage: Eukaryota; Metazoa; Chordata; Aves; Anseriformes; Anatidae. The record is from RNAcentral.